RNAcentral lists this long non-coding RNA (781 nucleotides) under Cicer arietinum (chickpea). Its description in RNAcentral is "long non-coding RNA (CARI_LNC000662)". Lineage: Eukaryota; Viridiplantae; Streptophyta; Magnoliopsida; Fabales; Fabaceae. The record is from RNAcentral.
UUUGUUCUAUUUAGUUAUUUCGGUUCGAUUCUAAUCUAGUUUUGGUUUAUUGUUGUUCUACUGAUAUUUCUUGAGCAUUUUAAUUUUUCAAUCCAAAGGCAUAAGAUGUAAUGCCUAAUUAUUUUCUUUACUUUCUUAAGCUUAUUCGGUAUGUACAAAUUAUCUUAUAUUCUUUCCAAAUAUUUUAAAAUACCAAAUUAGGAUUUCAAGUACAUACUAGGAUUUUUAUAUCGUCAGUAGGGCUCUACUAUGGCUUUUUUUGAAAGGCAUUGGAAGAUAUUUAAACUUUUGUUUGGUCACUUCCAUAUGGUCUUUAAUACCCUAGAGUUAUCCUUAAUUUCAUUUAAUUACAUUAUCAGAUCUCUAGCGAGUAAUCAAUAAUUAGGAUGUAAACGAUAUUAUUGUCUGAGUAGUCGUUAGUGUAUCUUAUUAUAGAAGAUCAACAAUUAAGCCACAUAAGGACAUUAUCCAACACUCUUAAAGCUUGUCAUCACUCUUGAAAGGUGGACGAAAUAUUCAGUACACGUCAGACAACUAGCAUAAAGUAGUUUCAUUCAAUAUGCACAGGGUGAACCUAAUCCCUACUAGAGAUAAACAAUUUAUGAGAGCUAAUCUUUGAUAGUGACUAUUUGGAGUAACUAGGUGAGGUUAUGUUGGUCUUAUGCUUUUUUAUCAAUAUGAUGAUUUGUUAUUCAAUUAUUAGGAGAUGAUUGUUUACUUGUUUGUGUGUUAUGUGCUAUAUAUGACUACUUGUUUACCUGUUAUUUGUAAUGUUUGCCCG